RNAcentral lists this ribosomal RNA (2940 nucleotides) under Priestia megaterium. RNAcentral describes it as "bacterial LSU rRNA". It matches the Rfam family "Bacterial large subunit ribosomal RNA". The record is from RNAcentral. Lineage: Bacteria; Bacillati; Bacillota; Bacilli; Caryophanales; Bacillaceae.
AUGGUUAAGUUAGAAAGGGCGCACGGUGAAUGCCUUGGCACUAGGAGCCGAUGAAGGACGGGACUAACACCGAUAUGCUUCGGGGAGCUGUAAGUGAGCUUUGAUCCGGAGAUUUCCGAAUGGGGAAACCCACUGUUCGUAAUGGAACAGUAUCUUUAUCUGAAUACAUAGGAUAUUGAAGGCAGACCCGGGGAACUGAAACAUCUAAGUACCCGGAGGAAGAGAAAGCAAAUGCGAUUUCCUGAGUAGCGGCGAGCGAAACGGAAUUAGCCCAAACCAAGAGGCUUGCCUCUUGGGGUUGUAGGACACUCUAUACGGAGUUACAAAGGAACGAAGUAAAUGAAGCGACCUGGAAAGGUCCGUCAAAGAAGGUAACAACCCUGUAGUUGAAACUUCGUUCCCUCUUGAGUGGAUCCUGAGUACGGCGGAACACGUGAAAUUCCGUCGGAAGCUGGGAGGACCAUCUCCCAAGGCUAAAUACUACCUAGUGACCGAUAGUGAACCAGUACCGUGAGGGAAAGGUGAAAAGCACCCCGGAAGGGGAGUGAAAGAGAUCCUGAAACCGUGUGCCUACAAGUAGUCAGAGCCCGUUAAUGGGUGAUGGCGUGCCUUUUGUAGAAUGAACCGGCGAGUUACGAUCCCAUGCAAGGUUAAGCUGAUAAGGCGGAGCCGUAGCGAAAGCGAGUCUGAAUAGGGCGUUUAGUAUGUGGUUGUAGACCCGAAACCAGGUGAUCUACCCAUGUCCAGGGUGAAGUUCAGGUAACACUGAAUGGAGGCCCGAACCCACGCACGUUGAAAAGUGCGGGGAUGAGGUGUGGGUAGCGGAGAAAUUCCAAUCGAACCUGGAGAUAGCUGGUUCUCUCCGAAAUAGCUUUAGGGCUAGCCUCAUGUUGUGAGAGUCUUGGAGGUAGAGCACUGAUUGGACUAGGGGCCCCCAACGGGUUACCGAAUUCAGUCAAACUCCGAAUGCCAAAGACUUAUCCAUGGGAGUCAGACUGCGAGUGAUAAGAUCCGUAGUCAAAAGGGAAACAGCCCAGACCACCAGCUAAGGUCCCCAAGUAUACGUUAAGUGGAAAAGGAUGUGGAGUUGCUUAGACAACCAGGAUGUUGGCUUAGAAGCAGCCACCAUUUAAAGAGUGCGUAAUAGCUCACUGGUCGAGUGACUCUGCGCCGAAAAUGUACCGGGGCUAAACGUAUCACCGAAGCUGUGGAUUGACAUCUUUGAUGUCAGUGGUAGGAGAGCGUUCUAAGUGCUGUGAAGUCAGACCGUAAGGACUGGUGGAGCGCUUAGAAGUGAGAAUGCCGGUAUGAGUAGCGAAAGACAAGUGAGAAUCUUGUCCACCGAAUGCCUAAGGUUUCCUGAGGAAGGCUCGUCCGCUCAGGGUUAGUCGGGACCUAAGCCGAGGCUGAAAAGCGUAGGCGAUGGCCAACAGGUUGAUAUUCCUGUACCACCUCCCCGCCGUUUGAGUAAUGGGGGGACGCAGUAGGAUAGGGUAAGCGCGCUGCUGGAUAUGCGCGUUCAAGCAGUUAGGCUGAUGAGUAGGCAAAUCCGCUCAUCAUAAAGGCUGAGCUGUGAUGACGAGGGAAUUAUAGUACCGAAGUUCCUGAUUCCACACUGCCAAGAAAAGCCUCUAGCGAGGCGGGAGGUGCCCGUACCGCAAACCGACACAGGUAGGCGAGGAGAGAAUCCUAAGGUGAUCGAGAGAACUCUCGUUAAGGAACUCGGCAAAAUGACCCCGUAACUUCGGGAGAAGGGGUGCUCUGGUAGGGUGUAUAGCCCGAGAGAGCCGCAGUGAAUAGGCCCAGGCGACUGUUUAGCAAAAACACAGGUCUCUGCGAAGCCGCAAGGCGAAGUAUAGGGGCUGACGCCUGCCCGGUGCUGGAAGGUUAAGAGGAGGGGUUAUCCUUUGGGAGAAGCUCUGAAUCGAAGCCCCAGUAAACGGCGGCCGUAACUAUAACGGUCCUAAGGUAGCGAAAUUCCUUGUCGGGUAAGUUCCGACCCGCACGAAAGGCGUAACGAUCUGGGCACUGUCUCAACGAGAGACUCGGUGAAAUUAUAGUACCUGUGAAGAUGCAGGUUACCCGCGACAGGACGGAAAGACCCCGUGGAGCUUUACUGUAGCCUGAUAUUGAAUUUUGGUACAGCUUGUACAGGAUAGGUAGGAGCCUGAGAAGCCGGAGCGCUAGCUUCGGUGGAGGCGUCGGUGGGAUACUACCCUGGCUGUAUUGAAAUUCUAACCCGCGGCCCUGAUCGGGCCGGGAGACAGUGUCAGGUGGGCAGUUUGACUGGGGCGGUCGCCUCCUAAAAUGUAACGGAGGCGCCCAAAGGUUCCCUCAGAAUGGUUGGAAAUCAUUCGUAGAGUGUAAAGGCACAAGGGAGCUUGACUGCGAGACCUACAAGUCGAGCAGGGACGAAAGUCGGGCUUAGUGAUCCGGUGGUUCCGCAUGGAAGGGCCAUCGCUCAACGGAUAAAAGCUACCCCGGGGAUAACAGGCUUAUCUCCCCCAAGAGUCCACAUCGACGGGGAGGUUUGGCACCUCGAUGUCGGCUCAUCGCAUCCUGGGGCUGUAGUCGGUCCCAAGGGUUGGGCUGUUCGCCCAUUAAAGCGGUACGCGAGCUGGGUUCAGAACGUCGUGAGACAGUUCGGUCCCUAUCCGUCGUGGGCGUAGGAAAUUUGAGAGGAGCUGUCCUUAGUACGAGAGGACCGGGAUGGACACACCGCUGGUGUACCAGUUGUCUUGCCAAAGGCAUCGCUGGGUAGCUAUGUGUGGACGGGAUAAGUGCUGAAAGCAUCUAAGCAUGAAGCCCCCCUCAAGAUGAGAUUUCCCAUAGCGCAAGCUAGUAAGAUCCCUGAAAGAUGAUCAGGUUGAUAGGUCAGAGGUGGAAGCGUGGCGACAUGUGUAGCUGACUGAUACUAAUCGAUCGAGGACUUAACCAAAC